UCAGUCUUCUGAAAUUAUCGACAGUCUUGAUCAUAUGAUUUUACUUUUAGGUUAGAUAUUUUUUCGAGUCGCUCAAAUCAAAAUUGCAAGUUUACAUUUUUCGAGUUCAAAUUCCAAGUGAGUACGCGGAACUGAGUGAUGCCUCAGUCCGUCUUCCUCUUCAAAAUCCGUUAAAAUAUUCAAUAGAUCACAAAGAAAACAAGAUAGCUACAUUCAUCAUGGCCAAAAGUGACGACAACGCAUGGCAAGAAGCAUGCCUCGUCAAGGGUGGAACUAAACUCGGUAAUAUCAAACAGCUUAACCCAGAAAAGUCCAAUAUUCCGAAUGUGCAUGUUUCUCCUUGGAUUCUACCAUUGAGCGUGAGUUAAGCUCCGUUAUUUAGUGAACUUUCAGAUUUUUUUUUCAUAAGAUUUUCUAGGCGUUUUAUCUGAAAGAUUUGCCUUUCCAAAUUUUUUUCAUAAGAUUUUCUAGGCGUUUUAUCUGAAAGAUUUGCGGCCUUGGAAGGGAACCUUCCGAUUUUUUCUUCAAUUUUGCGCCAUUCUGCAUAUUGAGGCGUGACUUUUGUCUGCAAAAAAAGUAUAUAUCUUUCUUUUCAAUCUAAAAAUUCAACUGAGAUGGAUUUUCUUUCAUUAGUCCUUGAUUCUCCACAAGAUCCGUAGAAUCAACGGCUUCUUCAGAUCAAACUUUCGAGGAAGAAGAAUGAACACGGCAAGGCUAUGGAAG
Molecule: long non-coding RNA, 723 nt
Filed under: Bemisia tabaci
Lineage: Eukaryota; Metazoa; Arthropoda; Insecta; Hemiptera; Aleyrodidae
Description: lncRNA ENSSSA2NGG003883
Source: RNAcentral